GACGAACGCUGGCGGCGUGCUUAACACAUGCAAGUCGAGCGGAGCGGCGAACGGGUGAGUAACGCGUGAGUAACUGCCCCCCUCUCUGGGAUAACAGUUGGAAACGGCUGCUAAUACCGGAUAGUGGGGGAUGACUCGCGUCCUAUCAGCUUGUUGGUGGGGUAGUGGCCUACCAAGGCGACGACGGGUAGCCGGCCUGAGAGGGCGACCGGCCACAUUGGGCUGGGGUACGGACCAACCGACUACGGGGGGCAGUGGGGGGGAAGAUUGAACAAGGGGGGAAACCCUGAGGCAGCAGCGCCGCGGGCGGGAGGACGGCCUUCGGGUGGGAAACCGCUUUAAGCCAUGAUGCGGUAGUGGCAGAAGAAGCACCGGCUAACUACGUGCCAGCAGCCGCGGUAAUUC
This 405-nucleotide ribosomal RNA is filed under the name uncultured bacterium. RNAcentral's name for it is "partial 16S ribosomal RNA". It matches the Rfam family "Bacterial small subunit ribosomal RNA", at positions 28 to 526 of the family's 1533-position model. The record is from RNAcentral.